Molecule: ribosomal RNA, 272 nt
Filed under: uncultured soil bacterium
Lineage: Bacteria
Description: partial 16S ribosomal RNA
Rfam family: Bacterial small subunit ribosomal RNA
Source: RNAcentral
AGAAUCAACGCUGGCGGCGUGCCUAACACAUGCAAGUCGAACGCGAAAGGGGCUUCGGCCCUGAGUAGAGUGGCAAACGGGUGAGUAACGCGUGGGUGACCUGCCUUCGAGUGGGGGAUAACGUUUCGAAAGGAACGCUAAUACCGCAUGACAUCCUGCCUUUGGACAGGCGGAGAUCAAAGCCGGGGACCGCAAGACCUGGCGCUUGAAGAGGGGCCCGCGUCCGAUUAGCUAGUUGGUGGGGUAACGGCUCACCAAGGCGACGAUCGGUA